AGGAAAGAGAAGUUCUCUCUCUUUGCUGGAGCUUGGAUAUCCUUUUUUUUCCUCCCUCAGGUUCUCAAGCCUGCAGUCUGGGCUGAGAGUCACAGCAUCAGCUUCUGGGACUGAGCCAUGCUACCCAAUCCUCUCCUUCUCUCCGGUCUCCAGGCGGCGCUUCGUCGGACUUCUCACCUCCAUUGGCUCAGGAGCCAGCCCCUCAGUGAAUCUCCAGUCACGUACAUACCACGUGUUCUAGAGAACUCCGAUGAGUACAGAAACUUGCACAUUUACAAGAAAGUUGUACAAGGGUGGAAUAUAUUGUAUCUCUGAGACUGGCAACCCCGAGGGGCCUCCAGCUGUGUCUACUCGAAGGAAGGUAUGGUCACAGUAAAGACACAGAAGUUUGGAAAGGGGAAGCUGAAAG
This 409-nucleotide long non-coding RNA is filed under the name Chinchilla lanigera (long-tailed chinchilla). Its description in RNAcentral is "lncRNA (ENSCLAG00000026097.1)". Lineage: Eukaryota; Metazoa; Chordata; Mammalia; Rodentia; Chinchillidae. The record is from RNAcentral.